GGGCGUAGGAUAUUUGAGAGGAGCUGCCCUUAGUACGAGAGGACCGGGGUGGACUGACCUCUGGUGUACCGGUUGUAUUACCAAGUGCAUAGCCGGGUAGCCAAGUCGGGACGGGAUAAACGCUGAAGGCAUCUAAGCGUGAAGCCCCCCUCAAGAUAAGAUAUCCCUGACGUAAGUCAAUAAGACCCCUUGAAGACGACGAGGUAGAUAGGUCCGAGGUGGAAGUACAGUAAUGUAUGCAGCUGACGGAUACUAAUAGGUCGAAGGCUUGACCUUA
RNAcentral lists this ribosomal RNA (277 nucleotides) under Clostridiales bacterium. RNAcentral describes it as "partial 23S ribosomal RNA". It matches the Rfam family "Bacterial large subunit ribosomal RNA", at positions 2649 to 2925 of the family's 2925-position model. The record is from RNAcentral. Lineage: Bacteria; Bacillati; Bacillota; Clostridia; Eubacteriales.